RNAcentral lists this ribosomal RNA (302 nucleotides) under uncultured bacterium. RNAcentral describes it as "partial 16S ribosomal RNA". It matches the Rfam family "Bacterial small subunit ribosomal RNA", at positions 508 to 807 of the family's 1533-position model. The record is from RNAcentral.
GCAGCAGCCGCGGGAAUACGGAGGGAGCUAGCGUUGUUCGGAAUUACUGGGCGUAAAGCGCGCGUAGGCGGUUACUCAAGUCAGAGGUGAAAGCCCGGGGCUCAACCCCGGAACUGCCUUUGAAACUAGGUGACUAGAAUCUUGGAGAGGUCAGUGGAAUUCCGAGUGUAGAGGUGAAAUUCGUAGAUAUUCGGAAGAACACCAGUGGCGAAGGCGACUGACUGGACAAGUAUUGACGCUGAGGUGCGAAAGCGUGGGGAGCAAACAGGAUUAGAUACCCCUGUAGUCCCUGUCUCUUAUAC